Ochotona princeps (American pika) is the source of this 756-nucleotide long non-coding RNA. RefSeq lists it as uncharacterized. NCBI's taxonomy places the organism in Eukaryota, Metazoa, Chordata, Mammalia, Lagomorpha, Ochotonidae. The transcript is spliced from 3 exons. The record is from RefSeq and is a predicted model, not a curated record.
ACUAGCUAGAUUUUCUUCUUCGCUAUAUCCUUUACCAUAAAAGUGACUUUGAACUAGUUACUUUUUGUAAGACCAUUCAAUUUCUGGGAGUUGCGUCUUCACAAAGAAAUCAAAUGAUACAUUCCAGAGAGUGUUUUUGUGAAGAAAGUGCGAAGUGCUUAGUAAGUUUUCAACAAAUGGAAACCAUCAUCAUUAUCAUCAUUACACAUCAUGGAAGGCUCAGAGGACUCUUCAGGUGACAUUAGCUACUGAUGACACUAAAGAGAGGAACAAAGGAGAGCUGUUUCUUAUUUAUGUGCAUCAAACUAAGAGUGCUAAUGAAGAAGCAAAAGGACAGGACAAGAGGUAGGACAGAAAACAACUUAUUUAUAUAUGUGAAGCAAUAUCAUUACAAGGGAUUCUUGGGGAGACUCCCCUAGGACAUGACACUUGAGCUUACUUGGAGAAAGACAUGCCCGUUGGAUAUGUCAACUUUGCCAUAGUGGUUUCAACCUUUGGGGAAGUCUCUUUCCACAGUGUCAGCAGCAACUCCAGACCUGUCAACUCAACAAUGCUUUACAACUAAUGCCUUUCACAGUGACUGAGAUAGAAAAAGAACUGCAAUAAUGUGGCCCAGGCUUCAGGAGGAUUAGAAAUUCAACCGCAUACAUUGGGUACUCACUAUGUGUAUGGAAAUAGGUGAGUCGACAAUGACAUGAUGGAAAAAAAUUACCUUUAGCAGAAAACCAAGUCUCAGGAAAGAAUGGAGCUAUUUAG